Non-coding RNA from Rattus norvegicus (Norway rat), 1186 nucleotides. NCBI's taxonomy places the organism in Eukaryota, Metazoa, Chordata, Mammalia, Rodentia, Muridae. The record is from RefSeq and is a predicted model, not a curated record.
GAGAGGGAGAGUAGCUGGGCGACAACAUGGAGGCUGACGUUAAGGUUCCACGCUGUACCUUUACAGGCUGUUAUGAAUGUUCUUAAGGGAUGGAUGUGUACAGGGCUUUGUAUGUUAAGGCUUGAAAAUGGAUUCUACCGUUUUAUAAACAAAAGCACGCACAAUAGCGAACUCCUAGCAGAAAGGUGUGCGACACCAUACGGAUCUCCCUGAGAACUCUUCCGGGGCAGAAAACGACCAUUUAGACUAUUCUAAAAAGAAUCCGAGAGACUGGAAACUUCCAUGGGAGAGGUGCAUCACGUACACACUGGGCCCACGGGACCAGGAGAGGCCACACAGACUGCAGAAGCCCGAGGGAACCACCAACAGAAAAACCUCUUCUACUCCCAGGCCAGAACUCCAUGAACACGGAGGCUGCAGAGACCAAGGGCUCUCGCCUUCUUCCCCUCCCCCACAGUACCACAUGGCCCCUGCUAGGGCCGGCAGUUUAGUCCAUCCGCUUGUACCGAUGCUGGCUGUGCUCAGAAGAGCUUCUCUUUGCAGUGAGCAUUGGUUAAGGCAGAGCCCCCUAAAAACUGAUCGAAUUCAGGGAACAUAAAGGAAGAGGGAACAGAAAGAAUUUGGGAGUCAGUGGACGGGGAGGGAGGACACCGUGAUUUGCUUGCUGUUUUCCAGACCCGAUGUGUGGGUGCCCACGAACCCACAGCAGCUGUGCCUGCCCGCACAUGUUGAAGUCGGUCAGCUUUCCAGCGUUGGGAGGGAAGGCCCGCAAACACCCCUACGCGAGGAGAUAUUGAUAGUUCAUGUCUAUUAGGAGGAGAGUCGCUUCUCUUUGGUGCAUGAGUGGAUUGUCCAUGAUUCCGAGGCUAGCCCUUCUUUAUCCAUGUGCACAUGAGCAGCACUGACUGGGUUCAAUAGUUUUUUUUUUUUUUUUUUUUUUUUUUAAGCAGGAGACAGGAUGUAUGGGGGCAUGGCCUGGGGGGCGGGUGAGGCACCAAUACGAUCAAACACAUUCUAUUCACCUCUGAAAUCUCAGAGAAGAAAUGCAAAGCAUCAUAUAUAGAUACAGCUGCACACAUUUACGAGCGCCAUGACAGCCCCUUUUAUGUCCUUGUCGUAACUCGGGAUCUUUAAUUUAGGAUCUGGAUAAAUGUUCGCUGAGUUCAAUAAAAGUAAUUUACAAAAA